RNAcentral lists this unclassified non-coding RNA (376 nucleotides) under uncultured marine bacterium. RNAcentral's name for it is "partial 16S-23S ribosomal RNA intergenic spacer". The record is from RNAcentral.
GUCGUAACAAGGUAGCCGUACCGGAACGUGGGGCUGGAUCACCUCCUUAUACGAUUUAGAACUUAUUUGUUCGUAGUGUCCACACAGAUGAUUGUUAGUUAGUUUUACCCUUUGGGUUUAACUGAUUAAUAUGCUCUUUAAAAUUUUGGAAAAGCUGAUAAUAAAAUUCUGAUAGAUACUUUGUAUUUAUCAAGAGUUUUCAAAAGUAAAAAAGAAUGAUAGCAGUAUCAUUCAAUGCCAAUUUAAUCAUUCGUGAUUAAUUGGUAUCUACUUUAGUAUUCAAUAUUAACUUCUGGCGAAGUUAAACUGUCACAUAACAAAGACCCGUUUGGGUUGUAUGGUUAAGUGACUAAGCGUACACGGUGGAUGCCUUGGC